GAUGAACGCUGGCGGCGUGCCUAAUACAUGCAAGUCGAGCGGACAGAUGAGGAGCUUGCUCCUCUGACGUUAGCGGCGGACGGGUGAGUAACACGUGGAUAACCUACCUAUAAGACUGGGAUCACUUCGGGAAACCGGAGCUAAUACCGGAUAAUAUAUUGAACCGCAUGGUUCAAUAGUGAAAGACGGCUUUGCUGUCUCUUAUAGAUGGAUCCGCGCCGCAUUAGCUAGUUGGUAAGGUAACGGCUUACCAAGGCAACGAUGCGUAGCCGACCUGAGAGGGUGAUCGGCCACACUGGAACUGAGACACGGUCCAGACUCCUACGGGAGGCAGCAGUAGGGAAUCUUCCGCAAUGGGCGAAAGCCUGACGGAGCAACGCCGCGUGAGUGAUGAAGGUCUUCGGAUCGUAAAACUCUGUUAUUAGGGAAGAACAAAUGUGUAAGUAACUAUGCACGUCUUGACGGUACCUAAUCAGAAAGCCACGGCUAACUACGUG
RNAcentral lists this ribosomal RNA (497 nucleotides) under uncultured bacterium. Its description in RNAcentral is "partial 16S ribosomal RNA". It matches the Rfam family "Bacterial small subunit ribosomal RNA", at positions 28 to 507 of the family's 1533-position model. The record is from RNAcentral.